RNAcentral lists this ribosomal RNA (554 nucleotides) under Micrococcus cohnii. Its description in RNAcentral is "bacterial SSU rRNA". It matches the Rfam family "Bacterial small subunit ribosomal RNA", at positions 77 to 644 of the family's 1533-position model. Lineage: Bacteria; Bacillati; Actinomycetota; Actinomycetes; Micrococcales; Micrococcaceae. The record is from RNAcentral.
AGCUUGCUCUGGUGGAUUAGUGGCGAACGGGUGAGUAACACGUGAGUAACCUACCCUUGACUCUGGGAUAAGCCCGGGAAACUGGGUCUAAUACCGGAUAUGAGUCAUCACCGCAUGGUGGUGGUUUGAAAGAUUUAUCGGUCUUGGAUGGACUCGCGGCCUAUCAGCUUGUUGGUGAGGUAAUGGCUCACCAAGGCGACGACGGGUAGCCGGCCUGAGAGGGUGACCGGCCACACUGGGACUGAGACACGGCCCAGACUCCUACGGGAGGCAGCAGUGGGGAAUAUUGCACAAUGGGCGGAAGCCUGAUGCAGCGACGCCGCGUGAGGGAUGACGGCCUUCGGGUUGUAAACCUCUUUCAGUAGGGAAGAAGCGAAAGUGACGGUACCUGCAGAAGAAGCACCGGCUAACUACGUGCCAGCAGCCGCGGUAAUACGUAGGGUGCGAGCGUUAUCCGGAAUUAUUGGGCGUAAAGAGCUCGUAGGCGGUUUGUCGCGUCUGUCGUGAAAGUCCGGGGCUUAACCCCGGAUCUGCGGUGGGUACGGGCAGACUAG